This 550-nucleotide ribosomal RNA is filed under the name Vibrio furnissii CIP 102972. RNAcentral describes it as "bacterial SSU rRNA". It matches the Rfam family "Bacterial small subunit ribosomal RNA", at positions 984 to 1533 of the family's 1533-position model. The record is from RNAcentral. Lineage: Bacteria; Pseudomonadati; Pseudomonadota; Gammaproteobacteria; Vibrionales; Vibrionaceae.
ACAUCCAGAGAACUUAGCAGAGAUGCUUUGGUGCCUUCGGGAACUCUGAGACAGGUGCUGCAUGGCUGUCGUCAGCUCGUGUUGUGAAAUGUUGGGUUAAGUCCCGCAACGAGCGCAACCCUUAUCCUUGUUUGCCAGCGAGUAAUGUCGGGAACUCCAGGGAGACUGCCGGUGAUAAACCGGAGGAAGGUGGGGACGACGUCAAGUCAUCAUGGCCCUUACGAGUAGGGCUACACACGUGCUACAAUGGCGCAUACAGAGGGCAGCCAACUUGCGAAAGUGAGCGAAUCCCAAAAAGUGCGUCGUAGUCCGGAUUGGAGUCUGCAACUCGACUCCAUGAAGUCGGAAUCGCUAGUAAUCGUGGAUCAGAAUGCCACGGUGAAUACGUUCCCGGGCCUUGUACACACCGCCCGUCACACCAUGGGAGUGGGCUGCAAAAGAAGCAGGUAGUUUAACCUUCGGGAGGACGCUUGCCACUUUGUGGUUCAUGACUGGGGUGAAGUCGUAACAAGGUAGCGCUAGGGGAACCUGGCGCUGGAUCACCUCCUUA